GAUGAAGAACGCAGCGAAAUGCGAUAAGUAAUGUGAAUUGCAGAAUUCAGUGAAUCAUCGAAUCUUUGAACGCACAUUGCGCCCGCUAGUAUUCUGGCGGGCAUGCCUGUCCGAGCGUCAUUUCAACCAUCAAGCCCCGGGCUUGUGUUGGGGACCUGCGGCUGCCGCAGGCCCUGAAAACCAGUGGCGGGCUCGCUAGUCACACCGAGCGUAGUAGCAUACACAUCGCUCAGGGCGUGCUGCGGGUUCCGGCCGUUAAACCCCUUUUUUACCCAAGGUUGACCUCGGAUCAGGUAGGAAGACCCGCUGAACUUAAGCAUAUCAAUAAGCGGAGGA
This 336-nucleotide unclassified non-coding RNA is filed under the name soil metagenome. RNAcentral describes it as "partial contains 5.8S ribosomal RNA, internal transcribed spacer 2, and large subunit ribosomal RNA". The stretch from base 1 to 120 matches the Rfam family "5.8S ribosomal RNA", at positions 35 to 154 of the family's 154-position model. The record is from RNAcentral.